This 302-nucleotide small nuclear RNA is filed under the name Erinaceus europaeus (western European hedgehog). Its description in RNAcentral is "7SK RNA". It matches the Rfam family "7SK RNA". Rfam says of the family: 7SK was discovered as an abundant small nuclear RNA in the mid-70s but a possible function has only recently been suggested. The record is from Rfam by way of RNAcentral. Lineage: Eukaryota; Metazoa; Chordata; Mammalia; Eulipotyphla; Erinaceidae.
GUAUUUGAGGGUGAUCUGGCUGAGAUAACUGUCAUCCCAUUAAUUGCCUGGGUUGAUUGGGCUAAUCUGAGUGGCUAGGCAAUUGUCCUCUUUUCCCUCACCACUCCAAGUGGAUCUCUCCAGAAGUUGCACUUGGUCAAAGAGGACAGUCUUCUCCGAAACAGAGAUUAACUGGUCUUAGGGUGUAUGAGUACUUGUGAUCCCCUGCUAGAACCUUAAAACAAGCUCUCAAUGUCCAUUUAAGAAGAAUAGGUUUAAAAGUUAUAGAACCAGAUUUGAUAUUUAAAUGACAGAAUCAGAUU